Molecule: long non-coding RNA, 238 nt
Filed under: Elaeis guineensis (African oil palm)
Lineage: Eukaryota; Viridiplantae; Streptophyta; Magnoliopsida; Arecales; Arecaceae
Description: long non-coding RNA (EGUI_LNC079759)
Source: RNAcentral
CAUGCAUGCCCAAAAUUUUUCUCUCUUUCUCUCUUACAUGGAAUGUGGUUGUGGACCAAGUCAAAGUAGGAAUUAGUUUGGAUUUCAAAUUCUAUGAGAUAGAGUUUUAGAAAACCAAAAGUCUUUCCUUAUGGCACUAAUUUUACUCAGAUUUUUUUUGAGAUUUUAGUGGCUUUUAUGACACAUAAUAUUAACCCUUUGCUGGUGGUCCAUGGUAGGAAAAAAAGAGGGGACGCCC